Molecule: ribosomal RNA, 475 nt
Filed under: uncultured bacterium
Lineage: Bacteria
Description: bacterial SSU rRNA
Rfam family: Bacterial small subunit ribosomal RNA
Source: RNAcentral
UGGCGGCAGGCUUAACACAUGCAAGUCGAGCGGUAGCAGAUCUAGCUUGCUAGAUGCUGACGAGCGGCGGACGGGUGAGUAACGCGUAGGAACCUGCCCAGUAGUGGGGGAUAGCCCGGGGAAACUCGGAUUAAUACCGCAUACGCUCUACGGAGGAAAGAGGGGGCUUCGGCUCUCGCUAUUGGAUGGGCCUGCGUGAGAUUAGCUAGUUGGUGAGGUAAUGGCUCACCAAGGCGACGAUCUCUAGCUGGUCUGAGAGGAUGAUCAGCCACACUGGGACUGAGACACGGCCCAGACUCCUACGGGAGGCAGCAGUGGGGAAUAUUGCACAAUGGGCGCAAGCCUGAUGCAGCCAUGCCGCGUGUGAGAAGAAGGCUUUCGGGUUGUAAAGCACUUUCAGUGGGGAGGAAGGCCUCGUAGUUAAUAGCUGCGAGGAUUGACGUUACCCACAGAAGAAGCNCCGGCUAACUCCGUG